RNAcentral lists this long non-coding RNA (621 nucleotides) under Gadus morhua (Atlantic cod). Its description in RNAcentral is "lncRNA (ENSGMOG00000031051.1)". Lineage: Eukaryota; Metazoa; Chordata; Actinopteri; Gadiformes; Gadidae. The record is from RNAcentral.
AAUAAAUUGACCUAACAAUGAGCUAAAUGUGGCCAUCAGGGUCAAGUCCAUGGAGCCGCAUUUAAAGGUAGUCGUGUACUAUAAUUAUGUACACAUACAGGAAACAAGAACAUACUCAUAAAACUUAGAACACACAUCUAAUCACUAUUGCGACUACCAAAGUAUUGCAUUGAUCACUUAACGUCAAUUGAUGCUGAAGGCCAUUUUUGUGUUCAUUUCACCAGAAAAUCAAGAAAUGAAGAUGCCUGUAGAGCCCACCAGCUCCUCAGGUAAUGUGCGGGAAAGUCAUAAUUUGCUAUAUUGUAGGCAGUACUACUGUGCUGCAUGUGUUCUGACGGGGAGAAAGCAGACAAAAUGCAAAGCUGUUAUAACUUCUGAACUUCUUAAAUCUGAACCUUCUUUUUAUAUAUUUAUUUUAGGGAAAAGAAAAAGUAUGGAAUUGACCCAGGGUGAGGCCAAGAGUUACAAAGGGGGAAACAAACUGUGUGCGACCCAGAGUGUGGCAUCCAGCUCCAAAGGUAAAACUAAAUCCAUUCAUUCCUUUAUUUUUUAUAUGCUUAAUCAGCACACAUUAAUAAAUAAUUAAAUAUUGACAGAAUACUAAGUACAGUUCAAUUUAGU